CCUACGGGUGGCAGCAGUGAGGAAUAUUGGUCAAUGGACGGGAGUCUGAACCAGCCAAGUAGCGUGAAGGAUGACUGCCCUAUGGGUUGUAAACUUCUUUUAUAUGGGAAUAAAAUGUUCCACGUGUGGGAUUUUGUAUGUACCAUAUGAAUAAGGAUCGCCUAACUACGUGCAAGCAGCCGCGGUAAUACGGAGUAUCCGAGCGUUAUCUGGAUUUAUUGGGUUUAAAGGGAGAGUAGGUGGAUUGUUAAGUCAGUUGUUAAAGUUUGCGGCUCAACCGUAAAAUUGCAGUUGAAACUGGCUGGCUGGAGUGCAGUAGGGGUGGGCGGAAUUCGUUGUGUAGCGGUGAAA
Molecule: ribosomal RNA, 351 nt
Filed under: uncultured bacterium
Lineage: Bacteria
Description: partial 16S ribosomal RNA
Rfam family: Bacterial small subunit ribosomal RNA
Source: RNAcentral